AAUGAUGAGCCUGAGUAAAGGACUAUCGUGAUAGGAUAAAAUAUGUAGUACAAACCUAAGCUACCUUCAUUA
Molecule: transfer RNA, 72 nt
Filed under: Nasutitermes sp. A TB-2017
Lineage: Eukaryota; Metazoa; Arthropoda; Insecta; Blattodea; Termitidae
Description: tRNA-Ile
Source: RNAcentral